GUCCAGUUUUACUUUAAACCAUUAGUCUAGCUUUUGUUUUGAAAAAUUAUUUAACUUCGUACCUACACUUAUUUUCUACGUUUUUGUAGACAAAUAUUUUCGUUUUAUUUAUUUUUCGUAGCACUUAUCAUUUAAGUACGAGUUUAUUAUUCAGUAAAAAAAAUGGUAACCUCAUCAUGUACUUUAACCAAAUCAACUAAAUAAAAAUACACCAACGAAAAUAUUCUACAAAACAUAGACAAUAAUUCAAACAUAUCCAAUACAUUUUCAAAAUAUAAAUUAGGCAACAAGCGGUAGUGAAUACAUUUCUACUCCAGCUUAUGGAUAUAAAAGUCAUAUUUGUCCGUAAAAACAGCCGUAUCUUUUCCCUUUAAAUGGGUAUCAGACAGGAGAUUAUUGAAAAAAUCUUAUCACUAAGAUAAAUGGUCGUUAAAAGAUAAAAAUGUAUUUUUAAAUUGUCCAAAUCUGAAAAAGUUUGGAAAUUGUUUCCAGCCCUCUUACCGCUAUAUAUUAAACCAGGGAAAAUAUACAAGUUGCGAUCCAUUUUCCCCCCUCCCAAAUAACGCAUCACUGCAGGUUAAACGAUAAAAUGUAUCCCUUAGCUCGUAUAACGGCAAAUUUUCAAUACGCGAGAAAAAUUAUAUUAAAACACUUCGAUGUUUCUCGUCGAUGUUAAAAAAUUGUUUUCAUCGCACGGGAAAUUGUUUCCAUACAUUGUUUGACCGGAAUUGAAAAAAAAUUGAUCGCCGUAUUAUGGUGAUAUCGUAUAUCGCAUUAUGGUCUUGGUCUGCGAUGAACAGCUUUAUAAAAAGUCAUAUCGUCGCGGACUCUCGUGUAUACGAGAUCAACGAGCCGGAAACGUUUUCGUGACGAUUUUUCACAGUUGUGCAGUAAACAAUAGUUCGAGUACCUAUACUACCGUCGGAAAUAGCAAAAUUCGUUUCGGUCGAGAUUUCGAUAAAAAAAAUAAUAAAUAAAGCUCUCGUAUAUGACGUAUAUAAUGUAAUACGCGACCAAUAGGAGGUAUAUAGGUGAACAUCUAUAGGUGUAUUCGAUCGAACGGAGAUAAAAAAAAAUCUCCAACUUGUAUAAAACAAAAAUAAAAAAAAAUAAAAAAAAAAAAAAAAAAAUGAAUCCAAUAGUCCAAUAGUCUCUAGAUAACUAUCCGUUCGUCGGGUCUUUAUGUAUUAUUGUAUGCUCCCUUUGCUCCCCGAACCCAAGCAUACGGUUUUCGACGUUAAGUAUUUUGUUUUUUUUUUUUUUCGUUACCGUUUUGUGCAACUCGUGUUUCUUGUUAUCGAAAACAAUAUGUUGUAAUAUUUUAAUAAUCCGUGCGUUAUCGCGUUUUCUAUGAAUUCAUAUAUUAUACGAAAAAUAUUCAGAUAUUUCACAAUGUAAGUAAUAUACAUACAAGCCAUUCAUUGUAAUAGCGAAUUUUUAUUUAAAUCACCAUACCAAUUUAAUCGAAAAUAUGAUUCACCCCCUCCCAUCACCGCUAAUAUUUCUCUGAUGAAAACUACCCCACGGUCAAAUGUUUCUAGUGAAAUUUUACCUGCCUCUCCCACGGUCAAUAAUCACCAGUGAAAUAUUUUUCUCUUAUAGUUUACCGAAGGGUUAUAAAUUCUCUAAUGACAUUUUUUAGGCUUCGCCCUCCCCCCUCCAGUCCCAAAUACAAACUCCCCA
This is a non-coding RNA of Cinara cedri, 1683 nucleotides long. Lineage: Eukaryota; Metazoa; Arthropoda; Insecta; Hemiptera; Aphididae. The record is from the annotation of a GenBank genome assembly.